RNAcentral lists this ribosomal RNA (450 nucleotides) under uncultured microorganism. RNAcentral's name for it is "bacterial SSU rRNA". It matches the Rfam family "Bacterial small subunit ribosomal RNA", at positions 9 to 506 of the family's 1533-position model. The record is from RNAcentral.
GAGUUUGAUCGUGGCUCAGAACGAACGCUGGCGGCAUGCCUAACACAUGCAAGUCGAACGAACUCUUCGGAGUUAGUGGCGCACGGGUGCGUAACGCGUGGGAAUCUGCCCUUGGGUACGGAAUAACUCAGAGAAAUUUGUGCUAAUACCGUAUAAUGACUUCGGUCCAAAGAUUUAUCGCCCAAGGAUGAGCCCGCGUAAGAUUAGCUAGUUGGUGGGGUAAAGGCCUACCAAGGCUACGAUCUUUAGCUGGUCUGAGAGGAUGAUCAGCCACACUGGGACUGAGACACGGCCCAGACUCCUACGGGAGGCAGCAGUGGGGAAUAUUGGACAAUGGGCGAAAGCCUGAUCCAGCAAUGCCGCGUGAGUGAUGAAGGCCUUAGGGUUGUAAAGCUCUUUACCCGGGAUGAUAAUGACAGUACCGGGAGAAUAAGCUCCGGCUAACUCCGU